AAGCUGGGGAAACUGUUGUACAGCCUGCAAAGGCUGAAACUGCUGGAUAGGAGCUGGCUGUGUAGCCUGAAGCUGGGGCUGCAGCUGAAGGGGCUGCUGAGGCGGAAGCUGCG
This 113-nucleotide ribosomal RNA is filed under the name uncultured Symbiodinium. RNAcentral's name for it is "partial Archaeal small subunit ribosomal RNA". The record is from RNAcentral. Lineage: Eukaryota; Dinophyceae; Suessiales; Symbiodiniaceae.